This 470-nucleotide long non-coding RNA is filed under the name Dasypus novemcinctus (nine-banded armadillo). Its description in RNAcentral is "lncRNA (ENSDNOG00000051334.1)". The record is from RNAcentral. Lineage: Eukaryota; Metazoa; Chordata; Mammalia; Cingulata; Dasypodidae.
CCGCUCCGCCGCCGGCCCCCGAGCGAGCUCGGCGCGUCCGGGCGGGAGCUGAGGGCUCCCCGGGUCCCCAAAGGGCUGCAGCCCCGAGGGAAUGCCCUCAACCGUGCCCCGGGGGGGCAGAAGCAGACUGCAGGGCGGUGGGAUCGGCCCGGGCCACGGCCGCCGCAGGGCUCCGCGCCGCUCCCAGCCCUCCCUCCCUCCGCCGGGAUGGGACUCUGCGAUGACAUCACCGCGGAGACCCGCGGCCUCCCCGCCCCCGGCCCGGGACCCCGGCGCGGAGAUUGACAGGUGUCGCUCGCAAGGACAAUGCCUUCCAGGUGUCACCGUCACAGUUCCAUUCCUCCUAGACCGCCCUCUCUGCCCCUUUCCCUUCCAACUCUCUUACUUCCUCGCUCCCCCCCCCCCCCCCCCCGCAUUUUUUCUACUCUCAGAGAAGCUCUCCCAUCUCCCCCCACCCCUCCGUCUCGCUC